RNAcentral lists this ribosomal RNA (1397 nucleotides) under uncultured bacterium. RNAcentral's name for it is "bacterial SSU rRNA". It matches the Rfam family "Bacterial small subunit ribosomal RNA". The record is from RNAcentral.
AGAGUUUGAUCCUGGCUCAGGAUGAACGCUGGCGGCGUGCUUAACACAUGCAAGUCGAACGAAGCACUUUUAUUUGAUUUCUUCGGAAUGAAGAUUUUAGUGACUGAGUGGCGGACGGGUGAGUAACGCGUGAGUAACCUGCCUUUCAGAGGGGGAUAACGUUCUGAAAAGAACGCUAAUACCGCAUAAGAUUGCAGCUUCGCAUGGAGCAGCAAUCAAAGGAGCAAUCCGCUGAAAGAUGGACUCGCGUCCGAUUAGGUAGUUGGUGAGGUAACGGCCCACCAAGCCGACGAUCGGUAGCCGACCUGAGAGGGUGAUCGGCCACAUUGGGACUGAGACACGGCCCAAACUCCUACGGGAGGCAGCAGUGAGGAAUAUUGGGCAAUGGAGGAAACUCUGACCCAGCAACGCCGCGUGGAGGAAGAAGGUUUUCGGAUCGUAAACUCCUGUCCUUGGAGACGAGUAGAAGACGGUAUCCAAGGAGGAAGCCCCGGCUAACUACGUGCCAGCAGCCGCGGUAAUACGUAGGGGGCAAGCGUUGUCCGGAAUAAUUGGGCGUAAAGGGCGCGUAGGCGGCUCGGUAAGUCUGGAGUGAAAGUCCUGCUUUUAAGGUGGGAAUUGCUUUGGAUACUGUCGGGCUUGAGUGCAGGAGAGGUUAGUGGAAUUCCCAGUGUAGCGGUGAAAUGCGUAGAGAUUGGGAGGAACACCAGUGGCGAAGGCGACUAACUGGACUGUAACUGACGCUGAGGCGCGAAAGUGUGGGGAGCAAACAGGAUUAGAUACCCUGGUAGUCCACACUGUAAACGAUGAAUGCUAGGUGUAGGGGGUAUCGACCCCUUUUGUGCCGCAGUCAACACAAUAAGCAUUCCGCCUGGGGAGUACGGCCGCAAGGUUGAAACUCAAAGGAAUUGACGGGGGCCCGCACAAGCAGCGGAGCAUGUGGUUUAAUUCGACGCAACGCGAAGAACCUUACCAGGUCUUGACAUCCACUUAAACUUACAGAGAUGUAAGGUGUGCUUGCACAAAGUGAGACAGGUGGUGCAUGGUUGUCGUCAGCUCGUGUCGUGAGAUGUUGGGUUAAGUCCCGCAACGAGCGCAACCCUUAUGGUCAGUUACUAACGGGUAAAGCCGAGGACUCUGACAAGACUGCCGGGGACAACUCGGAGGAAGGUGGGGACGACGUCAAAUCAUCAUGCCCCUUAUGACAUGGGCUACAAACGUGCUACAAUGGCGGCUACAAAGAGGGGCGAGACUGUAAAGUUGAGCGGAUCUCAAAAAAGCCGUCUCAGUUCGGAUUGUGGGCUGCAACCCGCCCACAUGAAGUUGGAGUUGCUAGUAAUCGCGGAUCAGCAUGCCGCGGUGAAUACGUUCCCGGGCCUUGCACACACCGCCCGUCA